RNAcentral lists this ribosomal RNA (391 nucleotides) under uncultured bacterium. RNAcentral's name for it is "bacterial SSU rRNA". It matches the Rfam family "Bacterial small subunit ribosomal RNA", at positions 30 to 419 of the family's 1533-position model. The record is from RNAcentral.
AUUGAACGCUGGCGGCAUGCUUUACACAUGCAAGUCGAACGGCAGCACGGGUGCUUGCACCUGGUGGCGAGUGGCGGACGGGUGAGUAAUACAUCGGAACGUAUCCUGAAGUGGGGGAUAACGCAUCGAAAGACGUGCUAAUACCGCAUAUACUCUGAGGAGGAAAGUAGGGGAUCGAAAGACCUUAUGCUUUUGGAGCGGCCGAUGUCUGAUUAGCUAGUUGGUAAGGUAAUGGCUUACCAAGGCAACGAUCAGUAGUUGGUCUGAGAGGACGACCAGCCACACUGGGACUGAGACACGGCCCAGACUCCUACGGGAGGCAGCAGUGGGGAAUUUUGGACAAUGGGCGCAAGCCUGAUCCAGCAAUGCCGCGUGAGUGAAGAAGGCCUUC